This 302-nucleotide unclassified non-coding RNA is filed under the name uncultured Pleosporales. RNAcentral's name for it is "sequence contains ITS1". The stretch from base 1 to 105 matches the Rfam family "5.8S ribosomal RNA", at positions 50 to 154 of the family's 154-position model. Lineage: Eukaryota; Fungi; Ascomycota; Dothideomycetes; Pleosporales. The record is from RNAcentral.
GAAAUGCGAUAAGUAAUGUGAAUUGCAGAAUUCAGUGAAUCAUCGAAUCUUUGAACGCACCUUGCGCUCCUUGGUAUUCCGAGGAGCAUGCCUGUUUGAGUGUCAUGAAACCCUCAAGCUUUGCUUGGUGUUGGGCGUCUUGUCUCCAGUUCGCUGGAGACUCGCCUUAAAGUAAUUGGCAGCCGGCAUAUUGGUAUCGGAGCGCAGCACAAGUCGCACUUCUUUCCAUGAAUGUUGGCAUCCAUCAAGACUAUUUUUUCACUCUUGACCUCGGAUCAGGUAGGGAUACCCGCUGAACUUAA